RNAcentral lists this long non-coding RNA (303 nucleotides) under Elaeis guineensis (African oil palm). Its description in RNAcentral is "long non-coding RNA (EGUI_LNC003795)". The record is from RNAcentral. Lineage: Eukaryota; Viridiplantae; Streptophyta; Magnoliopsida; Arecales; Arecaceae.
UUUCUAAUUCCCAAGUUGCCUUUGGAGCCCAAUGAAUUAUGUUUUUUUUUUAUCAAGCUGCAGAUAACACCCACAAACAGUUUUUUUUCCAUAAAACAGUAUCAAUUGUUGAUGUAUGAAUUAGAAAUUAUCAAGAGCUUCAAUAAUCCAAAUUAUGCAAUCCAAGCUGUAGAUGCCAUCUGGAAGGAUAAUAUCCUUCGAGUCUUACUCAUUUUCAACCCAUGAGUCAAACUUCCUUAAAAGGUUCUCAUCAACCAAGCUUUGAUAGAACAUGCAGGGACACACACACACACAUACAGAGAG